RNAcentral lists this unclassified non-coding RNA (328 nucleotides) under soil metagenome. RNAcentral describes it as "partial contains 5.8S ribosomal RNA, internal transcribed spacer 2, and large subunit ribosomal RNA". The stretch from base 1 to 120 matches the Rfam family "5.8S ribosomal RNA", at positions 35 to 154 of the family's 154-position model. The record is from RNAcentral.
GAUGAAGAACGUAGCGAAAUGCGAUAAGUGAUGUGAAUUGCAGAAUUCAGUGAAUCAUCGAAUCUUUGAACGCACAUUGCGCCCCUUGGUAUUCCGAGGGGCAUACCUGUUCGAGCGUCAUUAUAACCCCUCAAGCUCAGCUUGGUGUUGGGGCCUGCCGCACGGGCAGCCCUUAAAAUCAGUGGCGGUGCUAUCUGGCUCUAAGCGUAGUAAUUCUUCUCGCUAUAGAGUCCCGGUGGAUGCUUGCCAUUAACCCCCAAUUUUCUAUGGUUGACCUCGGAUCAGGUAGGGAUACCCGCUGAACUUAAGCAUAUCAAUAAGCGGAGGA